UACGAAGGGGGCGAGCGUUGUUCGGAAUUACUGGGCGUAAAGGGCGAGCAGGCGGCUCUGAAAGUCAGAUGUGAAAGCCCCGGGCUUAACCUGGGAAUUGCAUUUGAUACUCUGGAGCUUGAGUACGGGAGAGGAGAGUGGAAUUCCCAGUGUAGAGGUGAAAUUCGUAGAUAUUGGGAAGAACACCGGUGGCGAAGGCGGCUCUCUGGACCGUAACUGACGCUGAGGCGCGAAAGCGUGGGGAGCAAACAGG
This 253-nucleotide ribosomal RNA is filed under the name uncultured bacterium. RNAcentral's name for it is "partial 16S ribosomal RNA". It matches the Rfam family "Bacterial small subunit ribosomal RNA", at positions 524 to 776 of the family's 1533-position model. The record is from RNAcentral.